This 63-nucleotide transfer RNA is filed under the name Callirhopalus sedakowii. RNAcentral's name for it is "tRNA-Trp". The record is from RNAcentral. Lineage: Eukaryota; Metazoa; Arthropoda; Insecta; Coleoptera; Curculionidae.
AAGGAUUUAAGUUAAAUAAACUAUUGACCUUCAAAGUCAAAAAUAGACUUUGUCUAAGCCUUA